Molecule: long non-coding RNA, 1186 nt
Filed under: Nicotiana benthamiana
Lineage: Eukaryota; Viridiplantae; Streptophyta; Magnoliopsida; Solanales; Solanaceae
Description: long non-coding RNA (NBEN_LNC036329)
Source: RNAcentral
CUCCUGUAAUGAUGAAAAAAAACAAAGAGGAAAUUUUAGCAAUAAGAAUUAUGAGUUGCUAGUUUGUCCUCUUAUUCCUUUUUUUUUGUGUGUUAUUGUACUUACACUUUGGUACCAAUAUCCCAGAACAUUGUCCCGAAAAUGAGUGCUAUAAAGGUUGUGAUGAAUUUUGUACGCCAAGGAAGAGAACAGCAGCAUACAUAGAUCCCAUAGCAUUAACCAGAUCUUGGUUCCUACUCCUGUAAUGAUAAAAAACAAAGAGGAAAUUUUAGCAAUAAGAAUUAUGAGUUGCUAGUUUGUUUCUUACUCCUUCUUUUUUUUGUGUGUGUGUGUUAUUGUACUUACACUUUGGUACCAAUAUCCCAGAACAUUGUCCCGAAAAUGAGUGCUAUAAAGGUUGUGAAGAUAAAUCUGACUGCAGUGUAAGCCGGAUUACGCCAAUAUGACCAGUGUUGUUUCCAGAGGCAAGCCAUACACUGGGUCCAAAAAGGCUGUGAGAAUUCAGAAUCAAAAUGCAGGUCACUUGUACCAGGUCGUGGCACGCUUAGUUCAUCGAUCAAGGCUUUGUUCCUCCUGUAGAGAUCUGACUUCUUGUACAAGUCAGUAAAAUCAACCCCUAAUGCCAUUUCUUGAGAUGAGGCUGUGACUUCUAACAUCCAAGUUGCUGGAUUGUAACCUUCCACUAUUUUGCUUACUCCAGGUAUCGACUGAAAUCGUAACAAAAUCUAAGCUUAGUUCUUGAUCAUAGAAACUCAGUAAAAGGAACUUAUUUUGUAUAAAGAAACUUACCUCAAAAUAUUUUAUCAAAUGGCAUGAUUGGCGGCCUAAUGGACCAACGUAUAUCUCUUGUCCUCCUCGUUUCAUUAAAAACAACUGUAAAGAUGUAUUUUUCAUAUUAGUAUCUGAUAUCUAAAGGGAAAGGCAUAAGAGAAACUAGAAAUAGAUGCAAAAGGGUUUCAAUUCACCUCGUCGAAAGCCUCAAAAAUGUCAAUGCUAGGCUGAUGAAUGGUACAAACAACGGUUCUUCCAGUAUCGACGGUGUUCCUAACAGCUCUCAUCACAAUGGCAGCAGCUCUUGCAUCUAACCCUGAAGUUGGUUCAUCCAUAAAAAUGAUAGAGGGGUUUGCCACUAGUUCAACUGCAAUCGUCAACCUUUUACGUUGCUCAGUUGACAGACCAUUGACUC